UACGGAGGGUGCGAGCGUUGUCCGGAAUCACUGGGCGUAAAGGGCGCGUAGGCGGCGCGGAAAGUCAACGGUGAAAGCUCGGGGCUCAACCCCGAGUCGGCCGUCGAUACUUCUGUGCUUGAGCACUGUAGAGGCAGGUGGAAUUCCUGGUGUAGCGGUGGAAUGCGCAGAUAUCAGGAGGAACACCGGUGGCGAAGGCGGGUCUCUGGGCCAUUACUGACGCUGAGGAGCGAAAGCGUGGGGAGCGAACAGG
RNAcentral lists this ribosomal RNA (253 nucleotides) under uncultured bacterium. RNAcentral's name for it is "partial 16S ribosomal RNA". It matches the Rfam family "Bacterial small subunit ribosomal RNA", at positions 524 to 776 of the family's 1533-position model. The record is from RNAcentral.